UUAAGAGAGAGAGCUAUUAAUACUAAAUAACACAAGGUUUUUAGAAGAAAAAAAAUUGAUUCUAGCUUCAAAAGUUUGUUAACUUGGCUACAUAUACAUAUUACUAUGGUACAUGUCAACAGUUAGUCUGACUUAUGCAGAUUAUGAAGAAUAUACAAGGAAGCAGAAGACAAGAAAAUACACACUGAGUAGCUCAAUAGAUCAGUACCAGUAGCUAUAGUCACCAUCUUACUCCUCUCGAACAUCUUGACAAGAAGGAUCAUGACAAUGACAUGUCCCACUUUGGUUUUUAGUUCAUCGAGCGAACUGAUCUUCAUCCAUUUUGGCC
This 328-nucleotide long non-coding RNA is filed under the name Solanum tuberosum (potato). RNAcentral describes it as "long non-coding RNA (STUB_LNC002073)". Lineage: Eukaryota; Viridiplantae; Streptophyta; Magnoliopsida; Solanales; Solanaceae. The record is from RNAcentral.